GACGAACGCUGGCGGCGUGCUUAACACAUGCAAGUCGAACGGGCAGGCCCUGUGGGUUUGGGGGGGGUGGGUGAGUGGCGGACGGGUGAGUAACAAGUGAGUAACCUGCCCCUUUCGGCGGGAUUACGGAAAGAGAGGGCUACUAAGACCGGGUAUUCCCUGUGCUCGGUGGGGGGUGGGGAGGAAAGGUGGUUGUGUGUGGGCGGGUGGGGUCGCGGCCUAUCAGCGGGGUGGUGGGGUGCUGGGUCAGCAAGGGUUUGACGGGUAGACGGCCUGAGAGGGUGACCGGUCACAUUGGCACCGAGAUGCGGCCCAGGCUACUACGGGAAGCAGCAGUGGGGAAUAUUGCACAAUGGGCGCCAGCCUGAUGCCGCGACGCAGCGUGAGGGAUGGAGGCCUUGGGGUUGUGAACCUCUUUCGCCCGUGGUCAAGCCGCGACGUGGGUCGUGGUGAGGGUAGUGGGUAAAGAAGCGCCGGCUAACUACGUG
RNAcentral lists this ribosomal RNA (488 nucleotides) under uncultured bacterium. RNAcentral describes it as "partial 16S ribosomal RNA". It matches the Rfam family "Bacterial small subunit ribosomal RNA", at positions 28 to 507 of the family's 1533-position model. The record is from RNAcentral.